This 482-nucleotide ribosomal RNA is filed under the name uncultured bacterium. RNAcentral's name for it is "bacterial SSU rRNA". It matches the Rfam family "Bacterial small subunit ribosomal RNA", at positions 15 to 507 of the family's 1533-position model. The record is from RNAcentral.
GAUCCUGGCUCAGGAUGAACGCUAGCGGCAGGCUUAAUACAUGCAAGUCAAGGGGGUAGCAAUACAACCCGGCGCACGGGUGAGUAACGCGUACACAACAUACCAUAUACUGGGGUAUAGCUUUGGGAAACUGAAGGUAAUCCCCCAUAACAUUGCGAGAGGGCAUCUGAUUGCAAUUAAAGUUUCGGCGGUAUAUGAUUGGUGUGCGUUUGAUUAGCUAGUUGGUAGGGUAACGGCCUACCAAGGCGACGAUCAAUAGCUGGCGUGAGAGCGCGACCAGCCACACUGGAACUGAGACACGGUCCAGACUCCUACGGGAGGCAGCAGUAGGGAAUAUUGGACAAUGGAGGAAACUCUGAUCCAGCCAUGCCGCGUGAUAGAUGAAGGCCCUCUGGGUUGUAAAUAUCUUUUAUCUGGGAAGAAACAAUCUUAUUCUUAAGAUCUUGACGGUACCAGAGGAAUAAGCACCGGCUAACUCCGUG